AUUAGGCUCCUAUAAUCUUAAUUAAAUCUGAUUAAAUCAAUAAAUUAAUUGAGUCAUAGAUCCGAUCAAAUUAGGAUCAUUUCUCUCUUACCGAUUAGAUCAUCUCAUAACCUAAUCAGAUCUGACCACAUUGAAUCUAAUUCAAUCAGACUUGAUCCAGACUUUAAUACUUAAUCAGAUUGAGCUAAUUAGUGAUCUAAUCACUAAUUAAUCUUUAAUUAAUGAUAGAGUUCAAGUCCAGUGAGACUCUUUAUCAAAGUCCCCGUCCAGUGGGACUCUAGU
RNAcentral lists this long non-coding RNA (282 nucleotides) under Elaeis guineensis (African oil palm). RNAcentral's name for it is "long non-coding RNA (EGUI_LNC056103)". The record is from RNAcentral. Lineage: Eukaryota; Viridiplantae; Streptophyta; Magnoliopsida; Arecales; Arecaceae.